GAAAAUGCAUGAAUAGAGAGGUUUUUUUACUUAGAACUUCAGAAGCACUCUGCAACAUCACACAGGGGAAGAACCACAGACCUGCGUUUUCGUACAUUAUAUUUGUGUAUUAUACGUUUAUUCACAUCUUUGUCUUUCAUCCACCAUCAUAACCAGCCAUGAGGGCAUCGUUGAUAUUUCUAUUUGUGAUACUGAUGGGUGACCAAAGUCAAUGCCAAAGUGGGGAUUAUGAAAUUGAAUACGAACAUGAACCGGGUCCAGACAUCCUGGGACUGAUCAAACAGACUGCACUGGGCAAGGAAAUCAGUGACAAGAUCUCAGAGAGUGUGGAUGCAAUCAAUCAAUAUGCCCAAGCCGUGGGAAGCAAGGCCCAGUCUAUGUUUGAUAACCUGGGUCGUCAAGCUGAACGUGAAGCCAUGUUUGCCAAACAAGAUAUCCAGAACAACGCCAUUGCUGCUGUCCAGAACGUCCACGGCCGGCUAACGCAGAGUGCUGGGGACAUGCGGCUGAAGACUGAGUCACUCAUCGAGGCGGUUGCACACUCCCUGCAGAUUCAUCUUCACGUGUUUUGGGAGUCACUGACAAAAGGAAAUGAAACACACCCUCUGUUCCAGUGAGAUGCCCAAUGCCAGUGUGAUGGAGGCCCAUGAGUGUGCAUGUCAAUCUUACCUAGAUUAGGUGGGCCAUACCCGCUUAAUACUAUUUAUGAUGUGAAUGAUAAUCUUGCUCUCUCAUUUUUAUCACAACAAAUUCAUCUAGCAGCAGUUUUUCAUUGCUGUUUGUAUUCCUCAAUAACUGAAUGGAGUGUUAAGAGUUGAAUGCUAAGUACACAGAGUGCAAUAAACUCUACUCUCAAACUGUACUCUCAUACUGUUCAUUUAUUAUCUGUUCAUUUAGGCUUCCGCUGAACUACAGAGGCAAAAACAGUAGGCCAGUAUUACUGGGAGGAUUGAAGAGUUGCGAUGAAGGUGUCGGCAGCAGUCGUGCUGGUUUUGAUCAGUGCGGCUUGCCAUGGCUAUGAGGAGCAUGUGGCCCUGGAGAACAGCCUAUUAGAAGCCUGGGGACUGGACGAGACUGACCCUUGGGAUUCCCUGAGGGGGUUAGGGGCUGAGGUGCACCGAGCAUUUACACACGCAAUGGGCGGUGAGGUCAGGAACGAGAUCUCUGGGGGCGUUGACACGGCCGUCCGCUUUGGGAUGUCCAUGUUGAACGACGCAAGAGAUACGGGGGAGAGCGUGUGGGAGCAGAUCUCGGAGGAGGCAGAAAAGCUGGACAGUCAGCUGGAGGAGGACAUGAGCCGCCGGUUGGAGGCCAUCGAGAGUCACGCCGAGGCCUACACUCAGGAGGCGCGCAGGAAGAUCGACCAGAAUCUACUGGAGAUCCAGAAGAACCCCAUCCCUGUGGUCCAGACCUUCCAGGGCCAGCUGGCCCAGACGGCGCUGAAUAUCCGCACGAGCGCUGAGUUCUUUAUCGGAGAGUUUGCGUCACUCUGGGAACCUGCUCUACAGCAAGAUUAAGCUCGCUGCUUAGAUUUUUUCCUUACUUUAGAAGCUCAGCCAUACUGUAUUUUUAUGGAGAUCAUGCUAUGGCUUGAUGUCACCUUGUUUGAAUUCCAGACACUUUACUGUUACAAGAGAUUUCCUUUGCGGUAUUCAGAGUCAAGGGCUUCAGCAAGAGUUGUGUGUGAGAAAUGCAAUUGCAGCUGGCUCAGAAGAGCAGCAGAAUCUGGCUCCCUACGCAGAGGAGCUGAAGGGAAAACUGGAUCCCUUAGCUCAGGACCUGAAGACCCAGCUCACCACAUUGUGGGAUUCCUUCACCAAGAACAGCCAGUAAGAACAGUGUCCCAGAUCUGGCCCUUGCCAGCGGAUGUUUAAUUUAUGCUAACCUAAGAGACUCACUGGCUCAAGACGAUCCCUAUCAGACCUCUGCCAACCAGAUGUUACUCUUGAUGAUCACUUCUUUGAGAUUGUUAUACUAGAGAUGACAGUGACAGAGAAGAGGAUGGUAAUAGUUUCAAAAUAUAUUUAAACAAUAUGUGUGCCACAAGAAUUGUCACAGUUUAAGUCAGACAGUUAAGAAUGUACACCUUGGUCGACACUCCUCUACCACGCCCAAUCGCUAUGACGUCUUCAUUUGAAACUAGAAUUUUAGUUGACAUGGAUUCACUGUGACCUUCCCUCAACAUCAGCAUAAAAUUAGGUCCCAUUUAAAAUAUGGAUGUGAAUAUUCUGUAUUUGAUGUCGAAAUGUCGCAUAAUGGCUCCACUCUACUUGUGUUAGCUUCAGGCACUGAAAAUAUUAAGCCUUCCCGGUUGAAUCUUUUUGUUGGAUUUUUUUUUAUUUUUUUUUAUUGUCACAUGGGCUUCAAAUGUUUCAUUUUAAAAGAAUGACAAAAUAAAUGAUUGC
Long non-coding RNA from Clupea harengus (Atlantic herring), 2405 nucleotides. NCBI's taxonomy places the organism in Eukaryota, Metazoa, Chordata, Actinopteri, Clupeiformes, Clupeidae. The record is from Ensembl.